RNAcentral lists this ribosomal RNA (377 nucleotides) under uncultured cyanobacterium. RNAcentral's name for it is "bacterial SSU rRNA". It matches the Rfam family "Bacterial small subunit ribosomal RNA", at positions 376 to 770 of the family's 1533-position model. The record is from RNAcentral. Lineage: Bacteria; Bacillati; Cyanobacteriota.
CGCAAGCCUGACGGAGCAAGACCGCGUGCGGGAUGACGGCCAAAUGGUUGUAAACCGCUUUUCUCUGGGAAGAUGAUGACGGUACCAGAGGAAUCAGCCUCGGCUAACUCCGUGCCAGCAGCCGCGGUAAUACGGAGGAGGCAAGCGUUAUCCGGAAUUAUUGGGCGUAAAGCGUCCGUAGGUGGUUAUUCAAGUCUGCUGUCAAAGCGUGGGGCUUAACUCCAUAGAGGCAGUGGAAACUGGAUGACUUGAGUGCGGUAGGGGUCGAGGGAAUUCCCAGUGUAGCGGUGAAAUGCGUAGAUAUUGGGAAGAACACCAGUGGCGAAAGCGCUCGACUGGGCCUGCACUGACACUGAGGGACGAAAGCUAGGGGAGCG